Molecule: ribosomal RNA, 492 nt
Filed under: uncultured bacterium
Lineage: Bacteria
Description: partial 16S ribosomal RNA
Rfam family: Bacterial small subunit ribosomal RNA
Source: RNAcentral
AGUGAACGCUGGCGGUAGGCCUAACACAUGCAAGUCGAACGGCAGCACAGUAAGCGCUUGCUCUUACGGGUGGCGAGUGGCGGACGGGUGAGGAAUACAUCGGAAUCUCCUUUUUCGUGGGGGAUAACGCAGGGAAACUUACGCUAAUACCGCAUACGACCUACGGGUGAAAGCAGGGGAUCUUCGGACCUUGCGCGAUUGAAUGAGCCGAUGUCGGAUUAGCUAGUUGGCGGGGUAAAGGCCCACCAAGGCGACGAUCCGUAGCUGGUCUGAGAGGAUGAUCGGCCACACUGGAAGUUAGACACGGUCCAGACUCCUGCGGGAGGCAGCAGUGUGGAAUAUGGGACAGUGGGCGCAAGCCUGAUCCAGCCAUACCGAGUGGGUGAAGAAGGCCUUCGGGUUGUAAAGCCCGUUUGUUGGGAAAGAAAAGCAGCAGGUUAAUACGCCGCUGUUCUGACGGUACCCAAAGAAGAAGCACCGGCUAACUUCGUG